UACAGAGGUCCCAAGCGUUGUUCGGAUUCAUUGGGCGUAAAGGGUGCGUAGGUGGCGCCGUAAGUCGGGUGUGAAAUUUCGGAGCUUAACUCCGAAACUGCAUUCGAUACUGCGGUGCUUGAGGACUGGAGGGGAGACUGGAAUUCAUGGUGUAGCAGUGAAAUGCGUAGAGAUCAUGAGGAAGACCAGUGGCGAAGGCGGGUCUCUGGACAGUUCCUGACACUGAGGCACGAAGGCCAGGGGAGCAAACGGG
This 253-nucleotide ribosomal RNA is filed under the name uncultured bacterium. RNAcentral's name for it is "partial 16S ribosomal RNA". It matches the Rfam family "Bacterial small subunit ribosomal RNA", at positions 524 to 776 of the family's 1533-position model. The record is from RNAcentral.